RNAcentral lists this long non-coding RNA (1457 nucleotides) under Citrus x clementina. RNAcentral describes it as "Citrus clementina (C. clementina) long non-coding RNA (CCLE_LNC004675)". Lineage: Eukaryota; Viridiplantae; Streptophyta; Magnoliopsida; Sapindales; Rutaceae. The record is from RNAcentral.
UAGGAUUUUGCCCAACUCAAUUAUUUGAUAAAUUUUACUGCUUAUUAAAAUAUUUUUACUGCUUAUUAAAUUAUUUUUUAUUGUAAAAACAAACAAUAUACUACUUAUAUUCAGAUAUUUAAAAAAGAAAAAUAAACAUGUCAUUCAGAUUUUCGUAUUCAGACUUUAAAAAAAUUUAGAUCCAUUUAGAUUUCAGACAAAAAAACAAACGUUACCUAACUCUCAUAAAGCUUUUAUAGAGGCUCAAACAUUUACUCUCAUAAAUGUAAGUGCAAGUCUCUUCCACUAGAUUAAAGGCUAAUUGGUUUAAUAAAUUCUAUUUAAAAAAAUUAUACCAGGCAAAUUCUAGAAUGGUUCUGGAGGCAAAACUCGACUAUUAAUUGAAUCAUUAAACACGGAGCAUCCACAUCAGGCUAGUUGCAUGUGUGUUAAAUUUUUGUCUGUGUAAGUUGCAAUGAAACGUAACUCUGAUAUCUUUUAGAAUUUACAUACAUACACGUGUGUGUGUGUGUGUGUGUGUGUAAUUUACAAUAUUUUUUAAUAUCAAAUGAAGAAAAAAUAUUGACAAUUAAUCAAUUAAAUUAUUUUCUAGAAUAAGCAUGGAGCCACCACAAGCACUUAUAUAAAUUUAUUUAAUUAGAUAUCACUGGUUGGAGAAAAAAUAUAUAUCAAAUAAUAUCAAAAAUUUUGUGGCUGUAUCAAUAUUUGAAAAAAAAAAAUCUGUCUAAUGAUUUUAUUGAGUAAAUGAAUUUAGUUAGUGCUUUGAUGGGUUCAAAUUGUCUUGACCAUUACUUUAUUAGUUAUCAUUUAAAUUAAAUUAGUCCCAUAUAAGUAUACAUACAUAUUGAUUUUUAAAUAUUAUUUAAUAAAAUUUUUAAAUUUUAUCAAAACAUAACACAAGAUUAUAUACAAUAAAGAUCUUUCUAAGUUAUAUUAGAUGUAAGUAUACGAGUAAGUAAAAUUUAUUCAUUGAUUCACUUGACCUCAUUUAACUUUUUUCUAAUAAUUUUCAUACUAAAAAGACCGAUAGUAAGUUUCAAUAAUUGUACUUUAAGAAAAUUCGAUACCAUAAUUCAGAAAACAUGCGUAAAAUGAUUUGUCGGCAAAUGGGAACUGAUUCAUUCGGGAACCAUAUAUGUCGUUCGGGGGACAGGAAAAUCUCCGUAAUUUAUUAACGAAUGCUUGAUUGACAGCCAACAAUCAAUUAAACCCCAUGGUCUUUAAGUAGACCUUCAGUUUCAGAGUAGAGUGGUAGCUCCAGGCAAUCGAUUAAAGCUAUCAGCCCUACUACUUCGUCAAUACACCGCAGCCACCGAGGGGUUGCUCUAUGGCAAUUGCCAAUUGUCCUUACUCUUAGGCGGACGAAGCGUUUCCGGUUCAAACUUUAAAACACACCUGCUAAUCUGAGUUAUUAUUUAGUAAGUGAUUUUUUCUUUCAAUAAAAUAAGAAAUAAAUU